Molecule: long non-coding RNA, 1291 nt
Organism: Sinocyclocheilus anshuiensis
Lineage: Eukaryota; Metazoa; Chordata; Actinopteri; Cypriniformes; Cyprinidae
Source: Ensembl
UUUGGAUUCACCUCGCUUCGAGAAACCGUUUCAGCCAUCGAGGAAAGCAGUCCGUGUGGCCAGAGAGUGAGUGUUCAGUCCGGCAGCAUUUUCUCUUUCUGGAGCUCCCCUGACGACGCCUACACUAAAAUGCGACCGAGUGCUGUCUAGCAGCAUCCCUGAGUGUGGCCUCUGCAAUCUAAUCUAUAUUGUGAACGCCAGCUGUCUACAGGGUCUAAUGUUACUCCAUCCUAUCUGUCUGUGGUGUACAAUCUGUUGGCAGGUGCUUCAUCUUGGCGGGCAGAGAAAGAGGAAAUCACACUGGGACAUCUGCGAAGACCUGUAAGAUGGCAAGCACCUGUACUCAACCAGAACGUCUGCCAUCAGGCUGUCUACACUACAGUGGAGCUUGCUUUCCACAGCUGGGAGUGACCUUGGUGGGACUGAUGUGUGGCCUGGGCAGUGCCUGCGCACAAAUUCAAUUAUUUAUGGUGUGGCUGUGUAGAACUCGUGUUUGCUCAGAGAAGAAGUGUCCUCCUCCAUCACAGAGAGCUUCAGGGACUACAGCUGAAUGAAAAGACAUCUGUUCAACAGAAAAGAGAUUAAGAGAAGAGACAUUAUUUACACCAACGUUAACUGUGCACAGGAAGUAUUUGAAAAAGUGAUUGUAAUCAAAAUAUGAUGAUCUCUUGAGGACCAGUAACUGAAAUAUAUAAUGAAAUUGGCCAGAUUGUUUAAAACAAUGGACCCGUUUCACAGACUUUGAUGAUGUGUUUCCACGGUUAUUAACAUCAUUAAUCAAGCAACAUUUUUUGUAUUUUCAUUUUUCAAAAAUGUAAAGUUCAUAACACUACUUUGUUUUAUCAGCUUGCCAUUAAAAUACAGAAAACUAGUUAAUGUUACUGCAUGAGUGUUUAUAAUACCACGGCUGAGGGAGUGACUGCAAAUUUGACAUCUUUCUCUUUUUAAAUGAACGGAUUAAAUGUUUUGACAUUUUUUUACCUCUUUUGUGAAGUCAGAAAUGCAACCACGUAUUUUUCUUUUCCCAUUGGAGCAAAUGAAACUCAAAAAUUAUAUUUUAUAAAUUUACCCAACUAUAAUGACCUCUGCUUCUUAGAACCCUGAAUAAAGGUGAAACGUCCAUUAUCGCUGAGAAAGCAAACAAACAAAACCCAACAGACCAAAUGAGAACUUUAUGUUGCCUGCGUUUCUGUUAGAGGAGAUCUGGUGACUGUACAUGGUAUUCUGAGGAUUUGCUUUGUCCUUCCUCAACUUCCAAUUUUAGAAAACUGCUGCUGAAAUUACAUCACCU